RNAcentral lists this transfer RNA (66 nucleotides) under Babylonia lutosa. RNAcentral's name for it is "tRNA-His". It matches the Rfam family "tRNA". From Rfam's summary of the family: Transfer RNA (tRNA) molecules are approximately 80 nucleotides in length. Their secondary structure includes four short double-helical elements and three loops (D, anti-codon, and T loops). The record is from RNAcentral. Lineage: Eukaryota; Metazoa; Mollusca; Gastropoda; Neogastropoda; Buccinidae.
GUCAAGUUAGUUUAAAUGAAAAUAUCAGCCUGUGGAUUUGAAGAUAAAACCAUAUUUUACUUGACC